RNAcentral lists this ribosomal RNA (500 nucleotides) under uncultured Glomeromycotina. RNAcentral describes it as "partial small subunit ribosomal RNA". It matches the Rfam family "Eukaryotic small subunit ribosomal RNA", at positions 591 to 1092 of the family's 1831-position model. The record is from RNAcentral. Lineage: Eukaryota; Fungi; Glomeromycota.
CCAAUAGCGUAUAUUAAAGUUGUUGCAGUUAAAAAGCUCGUAGUUGAACUUCGGGAUCAAUGAAUUGGUCAUGCCGUUGGUAUGUACUGAUUUUAUUGGUUCUCACCUUCUAAAGAACCAUAAUGUCAUUCAUUUGAUGUUAUGGGGAAUUAGGACUGUUACCUUGAAAAAAUUAGAGUGUUUAAAGCAGGCUUACGCUUGAAUACAUUAGCAUGGAAUAAUGAAAUAGGACAUCCGAUUCUAUUUUGUUGGUUUCUAGGAUCGAUGUAAUGAUUAAUAGGGAUAGUUGGGGGCAUUAGUAUUCAAUUGUCAGAGGUGAAAUUCUUGGAUUUAUUGAAGACUAACUACUGCGAAAGCAUUUGCCAAGGAUGUUUUCAUUAAUCAAGAACGAAAGUUAGGGGAUCGAAGACGAUCAGAUACCGUCGUAGUCUUAACCAUAAACUAUGCCGACUAGGGAUCGGAUGAUGUUAAUUUUUUAAUGACUCAUUCGGCGCCUUACG